UAUUAUGACAAGACUUAUAUCUUUAAGACAAUUUUAUAGAAUAUUAUUCGAUAGUAGUUUUGGCAAAAUUAGAGAUCUGUAGUAUGACUUUAAUAAUUAUAUACAUGAUAUAUAUAGACAUCUAUUCGGAAAAAUCAAAAAGUAUUAUCUUUUAAAAUUAGUACAUAUGUUCUGAACUAUCAUGAUUAUGGAUCAAAUUUAAGAUUUUAAAAAUGGCAAGACAUACAUGUAAAUAUGGGCCUAUGAUAUUAAAGUGAAAUAAAAGACCAAUACUAAUCACAGUAAAGAAUAACCUAUACACUGCAUACAGAAUAUGCAAUAAUUAUUUUGUUUAAUUGUAAUAUUUCUUAUAUUUUAAUUGUAAUAUGUUUUAUAUUUCAGAACUGCAUGGUGAAACAAAAGACAAUUGUUUUGUGAUAGGACUGAAGAAUGGACACAUUCAAUCAGACUUGGAGCAUCAUACGAAAGAAAUGGAAAGUUGUCCACUAGGUCAUCAAUCAUCUGCCGAAGCCAAGAAAGGAACACAAUACAAGAUAGACGUCAGAUAGCAAUAAUGAACUUUGAACAUUUCCAAAAUGUUUAACUUAAAUUUACAUUAAAACAUAGUCUAAUUUUAA
This is a long non-coding RNA of Mytilus trossulus (common blue mussel), 617 nucleotides long. RefSeq lists it as uncharacterized. The transcript has 2 exons. The record is from RefSeq and is a predicted model, not a curated record. NCBI's taxonomy places the organism in Eukaryota, Metazoa, Mollusca, Bivalvia, Mytilida, Mytilidae.